Molecule: ribosomal RNA, 253 nt
Filed under: uncultured bacterium
Lineage: Bacteria
Description: partial 16S ribosomal RNA
Rfam family: Bacterial small subunit ribosomal RNA
Source: RNAcentral
UACGAAGGGGGCUAGCGUUGUUCGGAUUUACUGGGCGUAAAGCGCACGUAGGCGGAUCGUUAAGUGAGGGGUGAAAUUCCAGGGCUCAACCCUGGAACUGCCUUUCAUACUGGCGAUCUUGAGUCCGGAAGAGGUGAGUGGAACUCCUAGUGUAGAGGUGGAAUUCGUAGAUAUUAGGAAGAACACCUGAGGCGAAGGCGGGAUGCUGGGCCGACACUGACGCUGAGGCGCGAAAGCCAGGGGAGCGAACAGG